CCUACGGGAGGCAGCAGUGGGGAAUAUUGGACAAUGGGGGCAACCCUGAUCCAGCAAUGCCGCGUGUGUGAAGAAGGUCUUCGGAUUGUAAAGCACUUUCGACGGGGACGAUGAUGACGGUACCCGUAGAAGAAGCCCCGGCUAACUUCGUGCCAGCAGCCGCGGUAAUACGAAGGGGGCUAGCGUUGCUCGGAAUGACUGGGCGUAAAGGGUGCGUAGGCGGCGAGAUAAGUCAGGCGUGAAGUUCCUGGGCUCAACCUGGGGACUGCGUUUGAGACUGUUUGGCUAGAGGAUGGAAGAGGCUCGUGGAAUUCCCAGUGUAGAGGUGAAAUUCGUAGAUAUUGGGAAGAACACCGGUGGCGAAGGCGGCGAGCUGGUCCAUUACUGACGCUGAGGCACGAUAGCGUGGGGAGCAAACAGGAUUAGAUACCCUGGUAGUCCACGCCGUAAACGAUGUGUGCUGGAUGUUGGGGUUCAUAGAACCUCAGUGUCGUAGCUACGACGAUAAGACACACCGCCGUCGGGUAGGUACGGCCGGCGAAGGUUAGUAAACGUUAAACGGUAAAGUUAGUACGGCGUGAGACGUGCCGACGGACGACGACGAGGGAGAGG
Molecule: ribosomal RNA, 612 nt
Filed under: uncultured bacterium
Lineage: Bacteria
Description: bacterial SSU rRNA
Rfam family: Bacterial small subunit ribosomal RNA (bases 1-519)
Source: RNAcentral